GCCAGACUCCUACGGGAGGCAGCAGUGGGGGAUAUUGCACAAUGGGGGGAACCCUGAUGCAGCGACGCCGCGUGGGUGAAGGAGUAUUUCGGUAUGUAAAGCCCUAUCGGCAGGGAAGAAGCAAGACGGUACCUGACUAAGAAGCCCCGGCUAACUACGUGCCAGCAGCCGCGGUAAUACGUAGGGGGCGAGCGUUAUCCGGAUUCACUGGGUGUAAAGGGAGCGUAGACGGCCAAGCAAGCCAGGGGUGAAAGCCCGGGGCUCAACCCCGGGACUGCAUUUGGAACUGUGUGGCUGGAGUGUCGGAGAGGCAGGCGGAAUUCCUAGUGUAGCGGUGAAAUGCGUAGAUAUUAGGAGGAACACCAGUGGCGAAGGCGGCCUGCUGGACGAUGACUGACGUUGAGGCUCGAAAGCGUGGGGAGCAAACAGGAUUAGAUACCCCGGUACA
Molecule: ribosomal RNA, 448 nt
Filed under: uncultured bacterium
Lineage: Bacteria
Description: bacterial SSU rRNA
Rfam family: Bacterial small subunit ribosomal RNA
Source: RNAcentral